AAAAACGCGUUGAGGUGGUGGGAUAUGAUUUGGGACAGGACAGCUAAUGAAGGCCAAUUGGGAAACCCUCAAAACUAAAUAUGGACUGUCGUCUUUAUAUGAAAUAAAUACUAAUUGAAUACGCACCUGUAACUUCUUCUCGCCGGUGAAUACAAUACAAUUACUGCCGGUUCUCCUACGUCCACCACUUUCUCAGGGAAGCGAAGGGAAGAGAGAGAGAAUAUUCUAUGAGUUACCAGAGACCCCCUCAAGACCCAUACCACCAGUACCCUCCCCCAGGUAUACAUUCAUUUCUUCAAUUUCACUAAUUCUUGUCUUCUUUUCCUUUUGUUUUUCAGAUUUUGAUUUUGCUAUAUUUUUCUUAUAUUUUCAAUUUGACUGAUUGUUGACUUUCAAGAUCUAAACUUUAGCACUUCAAUUUUGUGGUGAUUGUUAAUUUUGAAGGGUAUGGGAGUCCUUCUACAUAUCCUCCACCACCAGGAUACCCAUCUGCGCCGCCGCCGCCGCCAUUCGAAGGGUAUCCGCAGCCACCACAACCGCCACCUGGGUACCCUUAUGCACCACCCCCAGGUCAAGGGUAUCAAGGGUAUUUCAGUGGAGGAGGGUAUCCUCCACCCCAGCAGCUUUAUCAUGUCCACCACUGUGAGCAUCACGAAUACAAUGAUCAGGGUGGUGGUUCCUCUUUUUUACAAGGCUGGUAUGUAUAUCUAUCUCCUCUUUAUGUGUAAAAACACACGCAUAUAUUAAUUUGUACCAAGGUUCUUUCAUUGGUAGAUAAAAUUGUUGUUUGUUUUAUGAUCUCUUUACUGGGAAUUGAUUUAGCUGAUGAUAAUUGGGCUCUGGUGAGCUCUGAAUUUCCGCCUUUUGUUUAUUUGGGAAUUUAGAACAUAACUAGAUAGUCUCCUAUGUAAAACUAUGAAUUGGAUUUGAUUGGUUCGUUGCUGCCUAGUCACUCUUGUUUUGUUUUCUAAGAACUUGGAUUUGCAGUAAACUAAGAACCUCUGUCAGUUCUUUGAAAUGGUGUUGGUCCAUUUACUUGGCUCGUCAAUAUUUAAUAAAUAGGUGCUUGAUUUAGUUGAGCUAACUAUUUGUAUCAACUAUCUAUACUAGUUACAUAAGCUCAGCCUUAAUCUAUAAUUACCUUUGCAAGAGCUGAAUUGUUCCUUUUCAGUUUCAGUUCGCUUUUCCAUUCUCCUAGCAUGUGACUAUAACUCUCGUAUACAUUUACUAAAUGUUGUCUUCAUGGUUGAAUAGGUUGGCUAUUCUUGUUUUUCUUUUUUGCAUUUCUUCCUUUCUGCCUUUUAGAGGAUUAGGAAAGCAUGCUUUAUGAGGUUGUCAAAUAAAAAGUUAUUGUUUCAUCUAGUUGGUGAAUAUAAAAAAUCAAUAUAUUCGAGAGUGUUUCUACUUUUGACUCUUCGGGUUAUAUAUCAAGAAUUCAAGAUAUAAGAGCUAUAUUGAUGCUUAGAGACCUAAAAGAUGAGAGACUAUCAAUUAUCUGUCAACAAUUUUAAGUAAAUGAAAAUUUCUUGAUUUCUACUUUCUCUUAGUUAACUGUAAAACCUGGAGGACCUGGACAUUUAUUGAUAUAUUUACUUAAGGAUCUUAUGGGAGUUGUUCUUUCAGAUAUAAAAUGAAAUCCAUAUGAAAAUGAAGAUUCAUUUUAUUAUUACAAUCACACACUAAUAUCUCUCUAUUUAUACAUGUAAACUGCUUACAUUAUAGGCUAAUUAUCAAACUAACUAUAUUACAAAAUUGUCAUAAACAUAACUAGCAUAAACUAAUGUACAUGAAUGUGAGCUAAAUCUUUGCCACUGUCAUGAAUUUGAUUGUGUUUUCUGAGAGCUUGUGAUGCUAUGCUGAGUUUGACUCAGAAUUGUAAGUUUCACUUGUCAUAUCUAUAACAUCCCCCUCAAGUUGGCAUUAUGAAACAAGUUACAAAUGCUCAACUUGGUAAAUAAUUGUUUAAGAUGUUGAGAAGCUAAGGACUUAGUAAGCAAAUCAGUCGGCUGCUCAAGAUUGGACACAUGAUGAGUAGAAAUAAAACCUUGCGUAAGCUUAUCCCGUACAAGGUGACAAUCUUUCUCAAUAUGUUUAGUGCGCUCAUGAAACACAAGAUUGGAAGCAAUAUGGAGAGCUGCCUUGUUGUCACAGUACAGAGGAAUAGGCAUAGAAACUGGGAUACCAAAAUCUUUUAAAAGAGCUGAAAUCCAUACUAGUUCACAACAUGUAUUGGCCAUGGAUCUAUAUUCUGAUUCAGCAGAGAACCUGUACAUAGUAUGUUGCUUUUUUACUUUUCCAUGAAAUUAAGGAAGAGCCAAGUAAGACACAAAAACCAGAUAUUGAUGGUCUACUAUCAGAACAAGAAUCUCAAUCUGCGUCAUAAUAUGCAGACGCUUGAAGACUAUUGUUGGCCGGAAAGAAUAAACCUUGUCCCAAACUGCCUUUAAGAUAUUUAACCAACUUCAAUGCAACUUCAAAAUGAGGGGUUCGAGGCUGAGCUAGAAACUGACUUCAAAUAUGAACACCAUAACUAAUGUCAGGUCUAGUUAUAGUAAGAUAUACUAGCCUGCCUACCAAUCUUUGGUAGCACUGCUGUCAGAAGCUGAGAGAAGAUCCCCUUUAUCUGAGGCAAGCUGAUGAUGUUGAUCCAUAGGAAUAACACUAGGUUUAGAACCUUGAAGACUAGUGUCCUGUAAGAUAUCAAGAACAUAUUUCAUUUGAUUAAUAUAUAUCAGUAUCAUUCCUUGCAAUCUCUAAACCCAAAAAAUAUUUCAAAGAGCCCAAGUCUUUAAUCUUAAACUGAGUGUUAAUAAAAGACUUGAUAGUAGUAAAAGUAGAAGAAUUGUUCCCUGUGAGAGGGCAGUAAAUGAGGAACCCUUGGUUAGAACAAACAGAGAAUGAUCAUGGGCAGUAAAUGAGGAACCCUUGGUUAGAACAAACAGAGAAUGAUCACGGGCAGUAAAUGAGGAACCCUUGGUUAGAACAAACAGAGAAUGAUCACUUUUUGAUUGAAUAAAUCCAUAACUGAGAAGCACACUUGAAAAUUUUGAAAACCAUUGUCUUGGAGCUUGUUUGAGCCCAUACAAUGAUUUUAUUAAUUUGCAAACCACGGGAGCAAAAGAAUUAUCUUGCAAUGGACAUUGAAAUCCAGGAGGUAAAUCCAUUUAGACAUCCUCUUGUAAAUCACCAUGAAGGAAAGGGAUAUAAACAUCUAUUUGAGACAAAUGCCACCUUUUAGUGGAUGCCAAUGCUAAAAGAAGUCUACCUGUGGUCAUUUUGGCUACGGGAGCAAAAUUUUCAAAAUAGUCUUGACCAUGUGUUUGCUUAAAGCCUUUUGCCACCAACCUAGCUUUGUACUUGUUGAUCGAACCAUUAGAAAGAAACUUGGUCUUAUAAAUCCAUUUGCAUCCAAGUGUGAUGUCCUUUAGGUAAGGAAGUCAAUAUCCAAGUCUUAUUGGACUCUUAAGGCAUGAAUUUCAUCUGUCAUGGCCUGUUGCCAGUAAGAAUGUUUCAUAGCUUGAGCAUAGGUUUUAGGUUCACAAUGAGAAGAUAUAGCAGUUAGAAAGAGAUGUUGUCUUGGGGUAAAGCGAGAAUAAGAGAUGUAAUGAGAUAAAGGAUAUGAAGGGGAAACUCGUGCGUUUCAAGAUACCUGUGCUGAAGUAGGAAGAGACUGAGUAAACAUGGAUGGUAAGGCUGUAUAAUCUUCAAACUUUGCAGGAAGUCUCUUAGAUCUAUGAGAAACAUAUUUAUUGAUAGAGGGAGAAGCAUGGGAUACAUCAGAUGAUGCAUCAUUUAAAGAAGAAGAGAUAUCAUUAGUAUCCAAUGAGGGUGACAAAGAUGAAUUAAGUGAAGAAUUUAUUUCUGAGAAUACAGGACAACCACUAGUAGAAUCAUCAAUUUGGAGAAUAAAAGGAUCAGUAUAAGGAGGAAAUAAAGAGCAACUAAUAGAAGAAGAGGAAGUGGUAGAAAUAUCUUGAAAAGGAAAUUGGGUUUCAUGAAAGACAACAUCCCUCCUAAUGAGAAAUUGCUGAGUAGAUAAACCAAAUACUUUGUAUCCUUUCUUGCCAAAUGGAUAACCCAGAUAAACACACUUAGAAGCCCUUGGAUCAAACUUAGUUCUGUUAUGGGCUAAAGUAGAAACAUAACACAAACAACCAUAAGCUCUGAGAUGAGUAUAAGGAGGAGAGCCCAUUAAAAUUUCAAUAGGAGUUUGGUAGUCUAAAAUAGCAAUAGGAAGCCUGUUGAUAAGGUACGUAGCAGUAAGAAGACUAUCACCCCAAAACUUAAUAGGCAAAGAUGCUUGAAAUUGUAAAGAUCUAGCAACCUCAAGAAGAUGUAUAUGCUUCCUUUCAACAACUUCAUUUUGUUGAGGAGUGUAGACACAACUCAUUUGAUGAAUAAUUCUCAGAUGAUCAAGUAAGGAAUUUAGAGUAUUCUUAAGAAAUUCCAUGCCAUUUUCAGUUCUAACAAUAUGAGCAUGACCUUGAAUUUGAGUUUUAACAGGAGGGAGAGAAGAUUUCAUGAAGUCAGAACUUGACUUUUAGAAUGUAACAUGUAAGUCCAUGUACAUCUAGAAAAAUCAUCAACCAAUGUGAGAAAAUAAGAACAACCAUCAUGAGUGGGGAUACUUAUAUGGUCCCCAAAGAUCACAAUGUAACAAUUUAGUGGCUUUGAUAACACUACGAGGAAAAACAGCUCGUGUUUGUUUAGCUAAAGGACAGACAUCACAAGUAAGAAUACAAUUGUUCUCAAAAUGAAGAGAGGAAAUUUUAUUUAGAACAUUAAGAGAUGGAUGACCAAGUCUAAAAUGGCACAAUUGUUUUGAUACAACUGAGUUUAUAAUGGAAGUAACAGUACUAGAAGAAAUAUGACUAAUUAACUGCAGAGCUUGAAUCUUGGAAACUAUACAAGCCGCCAUCCAGACUACCAGUCCCUUUCAAAGUCCUCAACAUAGGGUCCUGAAAAACACAUUGGUGAGGAGAAAAGAGAACACAACAAGCAUUAUUGAGUAGAGAACAUUAAAAAUGUAUAAAGGAAGUAACAGGUGUAGGAUUAACAAGGUUUGAGAAUUAAUUGGUAAUAUGGUUGAUGGCGGCAGAAUUAACAAUCCAUUGAUCAUUAAGAGUACAAACAGAUGAACAUAGAGGAUUAAUAAUGUGUAAGAUAGUGGAACAAAACUUGUUACUUGCAAGUUUAACGCCCGACAAUUUGUUUUCCUUGUCCAUCUUGAUAUAUUGCAGAACUUGUUUCAGUUGAGCCUCUGAUAGUGUUCCAUUAUAGUUGGAGGACUGUGUGUUUCUAGAUUCUGCAGAAGACUGUUGAGUAGAAGUUGUAUCAACGGAGUGUGCAAAAACAGAGGAUCAAUAGCAGGAGGAUUUCGAUCAUUACCGAUUACGAUAUUUGCAAAAGAUGUGUGUUGUUGAUUUGAUGACAUUGUUCCUCAAUUGGUUAAUUGAUUCAAUUUGUUCUUAGGAGAUCAAUACUUCGUGAAGCUUCAAAUCACCUCGAUGUAGAGAAAUGUGAUUUGCCGGUAGUUGUCGCAGAUGCGGAAUGAAGAAACCAAGAAAUUGAAUACAAUUUCAAUGAAUUUGAAUGAGAAAUGAUCAAAUUAUGACCAAAUUUGCAAGACGAAAACCCUCGAGUAAAGUCUAGGCUCUGAUACCAUGAUAUAAAAUGAAAUCCAUAUGAAAUUGAAGAUUCAUUUUAUUAUUACAAUCACACACCAAUACAGAGAUAGUUCUCUCUAUUUAUACAUGUAAACUGCUUUACAUUAUAAGCUAAUUAUCAAACUAACCAUAUUACAAAAUUGUCAUAAACAUAAUUAGCAUAAACUAAUGUACAUGACUGUGAGCUAAAGCUUUGCCACUUUCAUGAAUUUGAUUGUGUUUGCUGAGAGCUUGUGACGCUAUGCUGUUGUGAGUUUAGAAUUGUAGGCUUCACUUGUCAUGUCUACAGCACUUUCCUCUAUGUUCUGAACAGAACUAGGACUAUCUUGUUGCUUUUGAUCAGAUUCUGGACCAUAGUGUCAUAUUAGAGCUAUCCAUCUUUCACUACUAUGUAUAAGACACUUAAUUUGGUGUUGUUUUUAAGAGUGCAUCUAAAAGUAUUGAGGGAGCUUUCAGGAUUUUAUUGUCAAAAAAUAUAAAUUUAAGGUUUGUGACAGGACCAUGUUUGGGUCUCUAAUAUUAUUAUUGAUCAAUAUUGAGCUGAGGUUUGGAAUUUGCACCAAGACAUCUGUAUUUUACUCCUGUUAUUUCUCAGAUGUCUAAAGGGCAUCAUGCUGGUAGUAUGAUGCAAAUUGUCUUCUUUAAGCAGUUGUACAAGUCCCGUUUAAGGCACUUGUGUCAACAAGAACAACCACCUUGCCCAAUUUUUGUGCUGCAUUGCAUGUGAUUGGAUUUUGCUUUGUUUAUUAUUUACGUCAUUCAGUGAAGAGGAAUAAUGUUACACCCAUGUUAUGUGAUACUAAUGGGAUCUCUCCCACUGGUGAAAACUUGGCAUAUAUAUAUAUAUAUAUAUAUAUAUGUAUGUGUGUGUGUGUGUGUGUGUGUGUGUGUGUGUGUGUGUAUUUUUACUUGGUUUUGAAAUGUUUGACGAAUUAGAUUAAACAGCUUGCUCCUUUUUGUCUUGUGAAGGCAUGGUUUCUAACAUUGGUAAAUGCAGCAGCAUGACUUAUUUCAUGGCUAUCAAAUCGUAUAUACGAGUCUUAAAUGAACUUUUAAAUUACCAAAAUUCAUUUUAACUACACCACAUGGAGAGUUAAAAAAUCAUAUUUGUAUGUUGUUCCAAUGUCUUAAAACUGAGUGGCUUUCGUAGGAUUAGUGCCUUAAUACCUUUGUGAAUACAACUUAUUUAGUUACUUUAAUCUGCUGCAUAUGCUAGAAAUAUAUCUAUGAUUAAGCUUUUUGUGCGACUUUACAUGUGCAGUUUUGCUGCGCUUUGUUGCUGCUGUUUGUUGGAAGAAUGCUGCUGCUGCUUCUAAACUGCAAUGGAAGUUGCAACAUACAUACAUUCGGAACUCUGUAUAAUUUCUUUCUGGAUGUUGUGGAUAAAUAUAUAUAGUCUUCUUCAUAUCCUCCUUGGUGGCCCGGCCCCUCUUCUCUACAGUUUCAUUGUAAUGUGCAUAGCUGAUAGGGUUUGAUUUCGUCAACCAGUCACAUUGUUUUCUUCUUUUCUUGUAUGGAUUAUUGUGAAAAAUAUAUAUACUUAAAUCAGUAUUCAAGGUUAGUGCCAUAACACUCUUAGCAUGUUAGAUCAACACCCAAUAAUUAUUCUCUUAAAUAAACACCCUUACAUCAAGAUUCUCUUAAAGCAGUAGUUAAGAAACAAGUUUCUGCUUGUUAUUUUUUGAAAAUUAGAGGCAGUGCAAAUUUUUAUCAUCCAUAGAAUUAAUUAAUUAAUUUGAUAAUGAUAUAUAUUGCGAAUAUUUGUGGUAAAUUGAUGUUUUUGCAAGUUUCUCCUCAAAUGAAUAUUAAGUGGGUCUAACUUUUAUGCGAGAGAGACAUUGUGAAAAUAUUAUUUUUUUUCUUGUGCAAAUAGUAAUUUCCAAUUUUUUUAUUCAGGACUAAUG
Molecule: long non-coding RNA, 7570 nt
Filed under: Panax ginseng (ginseng)
Lineage: Eukaryota; Viridiplantae; Streptophyta; Magnoliopsida; Apiales; Araliaceae
Description: long non-coding RNA (PGIN_LNC009614)
Source: RNAcentral